RNAcentral lists this ribosomal RNA (433 nucleotides) under uncultured bacterium. RNAcentral's name for it is "partial 16S ribosomal RNA". It matches the Rfam family "Bacterial small subunit ribosomal RNA", at positions 29 to 507 of the family's 1533-position model. The record is from RNAcentral.
AACGAACGCUGGCGGCAUGCCUAACACAUGCAAGUCGAACGAGACCUUCGGGUCUAGUGGCGCACGGGUGCGUAACGCGUGGGAACCUGCCCUUAGGUUCGGAAUACCUCCCCGACAUGGGUGCUAAUACCGGAUAAUUUCUUCGGACCAAAGAUUUAUCGACUUUGGAUGGGCCCGCGUUGGAUUAGCUAGUUGGUAGGGUAACAGCCUACCACGGCGACGAUCCAUAGCUGGUCUGAGAGGAUGAUCAGCCACACUGGGACUGAGACACGGCCCAGAAUCCUACGGGAGGGAGCAGUGGGGAAUAUUGGAAAAUGGGCGAAAGACUGAUCCAGCAAUGCCGCGUAAGUGAUGAAGGCGUUAGGGUAGUAAAGCUCGUUUAACCGGGAUGAUAAUGACAGUACCGGGAGAAUAAGCUCCGGCUAACUACGUG